Molecule: transfer RNA, 78 nt
Filed under: Pelotomaculum schinkii
Lineage: Bacteria; Bacillati; Bacillota; Clostridia; Eubacteriales; Desulfotomaculaceae
Description: tRNA-Ser
Source: RNAcentral
ACGGUAGUUGCCGGGUAGAAAAAGGUUUGGGCUUUUAGAAAAAGCCCUUUCUUUAUUUUUCAAAUAAAUAUUACCAUC